GGACCCGCACAAGCAGCGGAGCAUGUGGUUUAAUUCGAAGCAACGCGAAGAACCUUACCAGGGCUUGACAUCCUCCUGACCGGUCCUUAACCGGGCCUUUCUUCGGACAGGAGAGACAGGUGGUGCAUGGUUGUCGUCAGCUCGUGUCGUGAGAUGUUGGGUUAAGUCCCGCAACGAGCGCAACCCUUGUCAUUAGUUGCCAGCCUUUAGUUGGGCACUCUAAUGAGACUGCCGGGGACAACUCGGAGGAAGGUGGGGAUGACGUCAAAUCAUCAUGCCCCUUAUGUCCUGGGCUACACACGUGCUACAAUGGUCGGUACAACGAGAAGCAAGACUGUGAAGUGGAGCAAAUCUUAGAAAACCGAUCCCAGUUCGGAUUGCAGGCUGCAACUCGCCUGCAUGAAGUCGGAGUUGCUAGUAAUCGCGGAUCAGAAUGUCG
Molecule: ribosomal RNA, 439 nt
Filed under: uncultured Bacillota bacterium
Lineage: Bacteria; Bacillati; Bacillota
Description: bacterial SSU rRNA
Rfam family: Bacterial small subunit ribosomal RNA
Source: RNAcentral